GGGUGAGUAACGCGUGAACAAUCUGUCCCAGACAGGGGGAUAACACAUCGAAAGGUGUGCUAAUACCGCAUAAGACCACGGUGCCGCAUGGCACAGGGGUAAAAGAACGGAAUCGGUUUGGGGUGAGUUCGCGUCUGAUUAGCUAGUUGGUGAGGUAACGGCCCACCAAGGCGACGAUCAGUAGCCGAUCUGAGAGGAUGACCGGCCACAUUGGAACUGAGAGACGGUCCAAACUCCUACGGGAGGCAGCAGUGGGGAAUAUUGGGCAAUGGGCGCAAGCCUGACCCAGCAACGCCGCGUGAGGGAAGAAGGUUUUCGGAUUGUAAACCUCUGUCCUAAGGGAAGAAAGGAAUGACGGUACCUUAGGAGGAAGCCCCGGCUAACUACGCGCCAGCAGCCGCGGUAAUACGUAGGGGGCGAGCGUUGUCCGGAAUGACUGGGCGUAAAGGGCGUGUAGGCGGCCUGUUAAGUUAGGAGUGAAAGUCCAGCUUUCAAGGUUGGAAUUGCUUUUAAUACUGAUGGGCUUGAGUGCAGAAGAGGUAAGUGGAAUUCCCAGUGUAGCGGUGAAAUGCGUAGAGAUUGGGAGGAACACCAGUGGCGAAGGCGACUUACUGGGCUGUAACUGACGCUGAGGCGCGAAAGCGUGGGGAGCGAACAGGAUUAGAUACCCUGGUAGUCCACGCGGUAAACGAUGAAUGCUAGGUGUAGGGGGUAUCGACCCCUCCUGUGCCGGAGUAAACACAAUAAGCAUUCCGCCUGGGGAGUACGGCCGCAAGGUUGAAACUCAAAGGAAUUGACGGGGGCCCGCACAAGCAGCGGA
This 820-nucleotide ribosomal RNA is filed under the name uncultured bacterium. RNAcentral's name for it is "bacterial SSU rRNA". It matches the Rfam family "Bacterial small subunit ribosomal RNA", at positions 104 to 936 of the family's 1533-position model. The record is from RNAcentral.